Molecule: ribosomal RNA, 404 nt
Filed under: uncultured bacterium
Lineage: Bacteria
Description: partial 16S ribosomal RNA
Rfam family: Bacterial small subunit ribosomal RNA
Source: RNAcentral
AUUGAACGCUGGCGGCAGGCCUAACACAUGCAAGUCGAGCGAGCGGCGGACGGGUGAGUAAUGCCUGGGAAUUGCCCUGUCGAGGGGUAUAACAGUUGGAAACGACUUCUAAUACCGCAUACGAUUGGAUUGCCCAGGUGGGAUUAGCUAGUUGGUGGGGUAAUGGCCCACCAAGGCCACGAUCCCUAGCUGGUCGGAGAGGAUGAUCAGCCACACUGGGACUGAGACACGGACCAGACUCCUACGGGAGGCAGCAGUGGGGAAUAUUGCACAAUGGGGGAAACCCUGAUGCAGCCAUGCCGCGUGUAUGAAGAAGGCCUUCGGGUUGUAAAGCACUUUCGGCAGAGAGGCGGUACCUGCAGAAGAAGCACCGGCUAACUCCGUGCCAGCAGCCGCGGUAAUAC